GUGUCAGCCGCCGCGGUAAUACAGAGGGUGCAAACGUUGCUCGGAAUCAUUGGGCGUAAAGCGCACGUAGGCGGUCCGAUAAGUGGGGAGUGAAAGCCCUCGGCUUAACCGAGGAAGUGCUUUCCAAACUGUCGGACUUGAGUACCCAAGAGGAUCGCGGAAUUCCCGGUGUAGAGGUGAAAUUCGUAGAUAUCGGGAGGAACACCAGCGGCGAAGGCGGCGAUCUGGGGGGAUACUGACGCUGAGGUGCGAAAGCGUGGGGAGCAAACAGGAUUAGAUACCCGCGUAGUCC
RNAcentral lists this ribosomal RNA (292 nucleotides) under uncultured bacterium. RNAcentral describes it as "partial 16S ribosomal RNA". It matches the Rfam family "Bacterial small subunit ribosomal RNA", at positions 505 to 796 of the family's 1533-position model. The record is from RNAcentral.